This 498-nucleotide ribosomal RNA is filed under the name uncultured bacterium. RNAcentral's name for it is "bacterial SSU rRNA". It matches the Rfam family "Bacterial small subunit ribosomal RNA", at positions 899 to 1397 of the family's 1533-position model. The record is from RNAcentral.
ACUCAAAGGAAUUGACGGGGGCCCGCACAAGCAGUGGAGUAUGUGGUUUAAUUCGAAGCAACGCGAAGAACCUUACCAGGGCUUGACAUAUACUUGAAUACAUUGGAAACGAUGUAGCCUUUCGGGGCAAGUAAACAGGUGGUGCAUGGUUGUCGUCAGCUCGUGUCGUGAGAUGUUGGGUUAAGUCCCGCAACGAGCGCAACCCCUGUGAUUAGUUGCUAACAAGUGAAGUUGAGGACUCUAAUCAGACUGCCGGUGAUAAAUCGGAGGAAGGUGGGGACGACGUCAAAUCAUCAUGCCCUAUAUGUCCUGGGCAACACACGUACUACAAUGGUCGUGACAAAGAGAACCGAAGCAGUGAUGUGGAGGAAAACUCAGAAAAGCGAUCUCAGUUCGGAUUGAAGGCUGAAAUUCGCCUUCAUGAAGUAGGAAUUGCUAGUAAUGGUAGGUCAUCAUACUACCGUGAAUACGUUCCCGGGCCUUGUACACACCGCCCGU